ACCUUCUUGAUUAGGUGCUUCGCUGAAGUUUGCAGCUAUCUAUUACCUUACGUAAGCAUAUUCCACAAUGAUUUUCCAUUAUUUUGGUUCCUUAUCUAUACUUCAGCGAUUUCUUUUUCUCAUCCUUUUUUUGAUUUGUUUGUAUUCACGGGUUUUGUGGGUUUUUUCACUCUUCCUGUUUCAGCCGCUAUUUGUUGUUGUUUUUAUCACUGCCCUUCCCCUCAUCUUUGCCUCAUCUUAGCGAGCGUGCUAUGCAAGAUUUUAACUGCUAUAUUUGCCAUGAUCAACUGAUUUUCUCAGAGUAGUUCUCCCUCUGAAAAAUUCUGUUUAAGACUGAAUUCAUAAUGUUCAGUUCUUUCUCAUCCCUUCGACCAUAAUUUGAGCCAUAAUUGUAAAGUGAUAUUUGCUUGUCUGUAUAGGUAGUACCAGAGUUUUAUUCACAUUCACAAAAAUGGAUAAGUAAAGAAGGAACUUCAACUCGCUGAAAACUGUAUUUAUGCUUACCAGUUCCCCUAAGAUGAAGUGAUUUUUGUAGCAUUCUCACUCACAUUUCAAAAGAAGAAAAAAGUGUUUCUUUGCCUUCUCUUUUCUAACCCUCCUGCCAUUAUACGUGGUGAAAAGUUUGAGUGCUGUCACACUUUCACCUAAACCACCAAUAUAGAUUCUUAUGGUUUCGUUGAUGCAUUGCCUCCUUCACCCGUCUCCAUCUCUUCCGGUGCUGUUAUGUUCAACUCAAUCAAGCUCUUUGGUUGAAGUUAUGCUGCCAGCGAAUAAUGUCCACUAAUCGGGGUAGCAAUUGGGUGUGAAAUAGGAAUGUUAUGAGAUUUCCUCAAGAAUGUGAAAUUUUAUAUACUUCAAUAUUUUGUCGAUUCAAAUUCAUUGUCUGCCUUUUAGUAUUUUAAAUGCAGAUAAUUUCCUACAAAAAGCUUGCGGAGAAAUGUCUCCAACAAACCAAAUAAACUAUCACGUACAGAAGAACAAAUUUAUCAAAUGAAACUCAAAAGGCGUGAUGCUUAUAUAAAGAUAAAAGCUGAUAAAAAAAACAGGCGAUAUUAGCAGAGAGGCACACCAGAGAAUUACGAAAAGGUAAAUCACGUGUUCUCCGUCCAACUGAAGAAACAAAGCGAUAUUGCGCCCCUUUAUUAUCAAGGCAAACUGCUCUUACUAUAAAAGAGCCCUCUUCUAUUAAUAUCAAGAAAAAGGAUGCUAUGAAAUUAGUUCUUCUAACAAAAGAGAACAAGUCCUCCCACCUUUCUAUGUAUUUGAAAAAGGCUCAACAUCCGGCACAUGUAGGGAACAACAAAAUGUCACUCCUGAGGUCAUUUCUAUCUCAAACUCUACAUCCAACGCAUGUACAGAUUAACAAAAUGUCACUUCUAAAAAGUCGCUACAGAGAAAGGUUGGUAUUCAUUUUAUACGGAAGUAAUUUCUCCUAUUACUUCAUUAGAAUGUCAGAUUAUACUCAGUUUUGACAGUACUUAUGACAUACAGGUAAUAGGCUAAAAGCAAACUCCCAUUAAAAAAUUAAUGAUAAUCGAUCUGCUUAUACAUGCUUAAAAGAUGUUCCCAACUGUAAGUUUUGUCAGGCAAAAAGAUUUCAGUAUGAAUCGCCUGGCUUUUGUUGUGGUAAUGGCUCAAUUAAAUUAGUUUCAUACCAACUAUCUGAUGACUUAUCCGAUCUGUAUAUGGGAAAUACUGAAGAAUCUAUGCACUUCCGAACUUACAUUAGAAC
This is a long non-coding RNA of Solanum pennellii, 1732 nucleotides long. RefSeq lists it as uncharacterized. Lineage: Eukaryota; Viridiplantae; Streptophyta; Magnoliopsida; Solanales; Solanaceae. The transcript is spliced from 3 exons. The record is from RefSeq and is a predicted model, not a curated record.